UAAGGAAUAUUGCGCAAUGGGCGACAGCCUGACGCAGCGACGCCGCGUGGGUGAUGAAGGCCUUAGGGUUGUAAAGCUCUUUUACCAGGGAUGAUAAUGACAGUACCUGGAGAAUAAGCUCCGGCUAACUCCGUGCCAGCAGCCGUGGUAAUACGGAGGAGCUAGCGUUGUUCGGAAUUACUGGGCGUAAAGCGUACGUAGGCGGUGACUCAAGUCAGAGGUGAAAGCCUGGAGCUCAACUCCAGAACUGCCUUUGAAACUAGGUCGCUAGAAUCACGGAGAGGUGAGUGGAAUUCCGAGUGUAGAGGUGAAAUUCGUAGAUAUUCGGAAGAACACCAGUGGCGAAGGCGGCUCACUGGACGUGUAUUGACGCUGAGGUACGAAAGCGUGGGAGCAAACAGGAUUAGAUACCCCUGUAGUCCCUGAGCGGGCUGGCAAGGCGCAU
RNAcentral lists this ribosomal RNA (445 nucleotides) under uncultured bacterium. RNAcentral's name for it is "bacterial SSU rRNA". It matches the Rfam family "Bacterial small subunit ribosomal RNA", at positions 355 to 825 of the family's 1533-position model. The record is from RNAcentral.